Molecule: ribosomal RNA, 382 nt
Filed under: uncultured bacterium
Lineage: Bacteria
Description: partial 16S ribosomal RNA
Rfam family: Bacterial small subunit ribosomal RNA
Source: RNAcentral
UGGGGAAUUUUGGACAAUGGGCGAAAGCCUGAUCCAGCAAUGCCGCGUGUGUGAAGAAGGCCUUCGGGUUGUAAAGCACUUUUGUCCGGAAAGAAAUGGCUCUGGUUAAUACCUGGGGUCGAUGACGGUACCGGAAGAAUAAGGACCGGCUAACUACGUGCCAGCAGCCGCGGUAAUACGUAGGGUCCAAGCGUUAAUCGGAAUUACUGGGCGUAAAGCGUGCGCAGGCGGUUGUGCAAGACCGAUGUGAAAUCCCCGCGNUACUUAGGAUUGGCAUUGGUGACUGCACGGCUAGAGUGUGUCAGAGGGGGGUAGAAUUCCACGUGUAGCAGUGAAAUGCGUAGAGAUGUGGAGGAAUACCGAUGGGCGAAGGCAGCCCCCU